UGGGUGACUGUUGCAGUUUCCUCUCCAAC
This 29-nucleotide non-coding RNA is filed under the name Rattus norvegicus (Norway rat). The record is from RNAcentral. Lineage: Eukaryota; Metazoa; Chordata; Mammalia; Rodentia; Muridae.